GAUCAUGGCUCAGGAUGAACGCUGGCGGCGUGCUUAACACAUGCAAGUCGAACGGGAAUUACUUUAUUGAAACUUCGGUCGAUUUAAUUUAAUUCUAGUGGCGGACGGGUGAGUAACGCGUGGGUAACCUGCCUUAUACAGGGGGAUAACAGUCAGAAAUGGCUGCUAAUACCGCAUAAGCGCACAGAGCUGNAGUGCGUGGUGAACAAACGUCGGUGUAA
RNAcentral lists this ribosomal RNA (221 nucleotides) under uncultured bacterium. RNAcentral's name for it is "partial 16S ribosomal RNA". It matches the Rfam family "Bacterial small subunit ribosomal RNA", at positions 15 to 223 of the family's 1533-position model. The record is from RNAcentral.